UGAGUACGAGAUGCUACGGCAUCGAAGCAGUCUAUGUCAUACUUCCAAGAAAAGCUUGCAAUGUCAUAAACAAAUAAUGCCUGUACCAUAACCGACACAGGUGGGUAGGUAGAGUAUACUAAGGGGCGCGAGAUAACUCUCUCUAAGGAACUCGGCAAAAUGACUCCGUAACUUCGGGAGAAGGAGUGCCUUAUUUUUAUAAGGUUGCAAUAACAAGAUCCAAGCAACUGUUUACCAAAAACACAGGUCUCCGCUAAGUCGUAAGACGAUGUAUGGGGGCUGACGCCUGCCCAGUGCCAGAAGGUUAAAGAAGUUGGUUAGCAUUAGCGAAGCUGAUAACUGAAGCCCUGGUGAACGGCGGCCGUAACGAUAACGGUCCUAAGGUAGCGAAAUUCCUUGUCGGGUAAGUUCCGACCCGCACGAAAGGCGUAAUGAUUUGGAUACUGUCUCGGAGAGGGGCUCGAUGAAAUAGACUUGUCUGUGAAGAUGCGGACUACCUGCACCUGGACAGAAAGACCCUAUGAAGCUUUACUGUAACUUGAGAUUGAAAUUGGACUUUAUCUGCGCAGUAUAGGUGGGAGACGUUGAAAAUAUUCUUGCGGGAAUAUUGGAGUCAUCAGUGAGAUACCACUCUUAUAAUGUUAGAUUUCUAACUUUGUAUCAUUAUCUGGUCAAAGAACAGUUUCAGGCGGGCAGUUUGACUGGGGCGGUCGCCUCCCAAACGGUAACGGAGGCGCACAAAGGUUUCCUCUGAACGUGUAGAAAUCGUAUCUAGAGUGUAAAGGCAUAAGGAAGCUUGACUGUGAGACCUACAAGUCGAGCAGGGACGAAAGUCGGUCUUAGUGAUCUGACGGUGCUGAGUGGAAAGGCCGUCACUCAACGGAUAAAAGUUACUCUAAGGAUAACAGGCUGAUCUCCCCCAAGAGUUCACAUCGACGGGGAGGUUUGGCACCUCGAUGUCGGCUCAUCGCAUCCUGGGGCGGUAGUACGUCCCAAGGGUUGGGCUGUUCGCCCAUGAAAGCGGUACGCGAGCUGGGUUCAGAACGUCGUGAGACAGUUCGGUCCAUAUCCGGUGUAGGCGUUAGAAUAUUGAGAGGAGCCUUCUUUAGUACGAGAGGACCGAGAAGGACAUACCUCUGGUGUACCAGUUAUCGUGCCAACGGUAAACGCUGGGUAGCCAUGUAUGGAGAGGAUAACCGCUGAAAGCAUCUAAGUGGGAAGCCCACCUCAAGAUAAG
RNAcentral lists this ribosomal RNA (1237 nucleotides) under metagenome. Its description in RNAcentral is "bacterial LSU rRNA". It matches the Rfam family "Bacterial large subunit ribosomal RNA", at positions 1564 to 2808 of the family's 2925-position model. The record is from RNAcentral.